ACCCAGCAACAGGAACACGCUCCAGUUUCGAUUGCGUUGUGGCUGAUUGGGAAUACCAUCCCUUUGGCACCGUAGCACAAAAAAGGCAGGUGGUUUAAGGGUCUCAGUCUGCAAUCUGGCUCCUGUCAGGAAAAGACCGGACAAGGGCUGGCGGCUGCAUCAUGAGAGGGUUUGAUCUGCUUUUCCGAAGGGAGAAGAACGCUUCUGGUUUGCUUAAAACCAAAGCCAGAAGAGAUGGCAGGAGUGAAGCCAACAGCUGAGGUUGAAAACUGGGAGGAAGGAGAGCAGAUGCAGGCGUCUUUCAGCCCGGCCACUCAGUCACCGUCUGCAGCCCCUGGGGACGAGCCACCCCCUGAUGCGAGCCCGUGAGGAGCUGCCCGACGGAAAGGUGGGAGCAGCACUGCACCAGACAUCUCUGGUGCCUGCCGGAGGCAGGCCUUGGGCAGGGAAAAACAGCCCCGAGGGCAAGGCAGAGCCCUCCGUCAUGCCCAUUUACCGCUUCGGGCGUUUCAGCUACACAGACAUCUAGGCUACAGCCUGUGCAUCAAGGAAAAGAGGAAUAAUUUUUGCAUACGCUCUUGCCAGCACCUGACGCACAGACCUUUCCAGCAGCAGGACUCAGCCCUGGCUGACAGCUCGCUGGCUUAUUUUGAAACAGGGAUGAAGAUGAAGCCACCUGUAGUGUCAUAGCAACCCUCCCCAGCGGCUGUCCUCUCCCAGUUCAAACCGAAGCCACCUCACUGGCUGACAGAUCAGCUUCCUAAUCAUCUGCCUCGGCGUCAGACGAUGUAGGAAGCGCCCACCCGGCCCCGCUCUUCCUCCCGCCCGCCGU
This is a long non-coding RNA of Aquila chrysaetos chrysaetos, 832 nucleotides long. RefSeq lists it as uncharacterized. The transcript has 3 exons. Lineage: Eukaryota; Metazoa; Chordata; Aves; Accipitriformes; Accipitridae. The record is from RefSeq and is a predicted model, not a curated record.